AGUGACAAGAAAUAACAAUACAGGACCUUUUGGUUUUGUAAUUGGAAUGAGUUAAGUAUAAACCCCUUUACAAGUAUCAAUUGGAGGGCAAGUCUGGUGCCAGCAGCCGCGGUAAUUCCAGCUCCAAUAGCGUAUAUUAAAGUUGUUGCAGUUAAAAAGCUCGUAGUUGGAUUUCUGUUAAUAAUUUAUAUAAAAUAUUUUGAUGAAUAUUUAUAUAAUAUCAACAUAAUUCAUAUUACUAUAUAUUUUAGUAUAUGAAAUUUUACUUUGAGAAAAUUAGGGUGCUUAAAGCAGG
RNAcentral lists this ribosomal RNA (295 nucleotides) under Cryptosporidium sp. 204a. Its description in RNAcentral is "partial 18S ribosomal RNA". It matches the Rfam family "Eukaryotic small subunit ribosomal RNA", at positions 466 to 784 of the family's 1831-position model. The record is from RNAcentral. Lineage: Eukaryota; Apicomplexa; Conoidasida; Eucoccidiorida; Cryptosporidiidae.